RNAcentral lists this ribosomal RNA (373 nucleotides) under uncultured organism. RNAcentral describes it as "partial 16S ribosomal RNA". It matches the Rfam family "Bacterial small subunit ribosomal RNA", at positions 527 to 896 of the family's 1533-position model. The record is from RNAcentral.
GUAGGUGGCAAGCGUUGUCCGGAAUUAUUGGGCGUAAAGCGCGAGCAGGCGGUUCUUUAAGUCUGAUGUGAAAGCCCACGGCUCAACCGUGGAGGGUCAUUGGAAACUGGAGAACUUGAGUACAGAAGAGGAAAGCGGAAUUCCACGUGUAGCGGUGAAAUGCGUAGAGAUGUGGAGGAACACCAGUGGCGAAGGCGGCUUUCUGGUCUGUAACUGACGCUGAGGCGCGAAAGCGUGGGGAGCAAACAGGAUUAGAUACCCUGGUAGUCCACGCCGUAAACGAUGAGUGCUAAGUGUUAGGGGGGUUUCCGCCCCCCUUAGUGCUGCAGCUAACGCAUUAAGCACUCCGCCUGGGAGUACGGCCGCAAGGCUG